RNAcentral lists this ribosomal RNA (465 nucleotides) under uncultured bacterium. RNAcentral's name for it is "partial 16S ribosomal RNA". It matches the Rfam family "Bacterial small subunit ribosomal RNA", at positions 338 to 795 of the family's 1533-position model. The record is from RNAcentral.
CCUACGGGUGGCAGCAGUGGGGAAUAUUGCGCAAUGGGCGAAAGCCUGACGCAGCGACGCCGCGUGAGGGAUGAAGGUCUUCGGAUCGUAAACCUCUGUCAGCAGGGAAGAACAGUCACUGUGCUAAUCAGCAGUGAAUUGACGGUACCUGCAAAGGAAGCACCGGCUAACUCCGUGCCAGCAGCCGCGGUAAUACGGAGGGUGCGAGCGUUAAUCGGAAUUACUGGGCGUAAAGCGCGCGUAGGCGGUAUGUCAAGUCAAGGGUGAAAUCCCCGGGCUCAACGUGGGAACUGCCGUUGAAACUGGCAAACUGGAGUGUGUGAGAGGAAAGUGGAAUUCGUGGUGUAGGAGUGAAAGCCGUAGAUAUCUGGAGGAACAUCAGUGGCGAAGGCGACUAUCUGGCACAUAACUGACGCUGAGGAGCGAAAGCGUGGGUAGCAAACAGGAUUAGAUACCCUUGUAGUC